RNAcentral lists this ribosomal RNA (430 nucleotides) under Pseudomonadota bacterium. Its description in RNAcentral is "Proteobacteria bacterium partial 16S ribosomal RNA". It matches the Rfam family "Bacterial small subunit ribosomal RNA", at positions 355 to 776 of the family's 1533-position model. Lineage: Bacteria; Pseudomonadati; Pseudomonadota. The record is from RNAcentral.
UGGGGAAUAUUGGACAAUGGGGGGAACCCUGAUCCAGCCAUGCCGCGUGUGUGAAGAAGGCCUUAUGGUUGUAAAGCACUUUAAGCGAGGAGGAGGGUACUGGUAUUAAUACUACCAGCUACUGGACGUUACUCGCAGAAUAAGCACCGGCUAACUCUGUGCCAGCAGCCGAGGUAAUACAGAGGGUGCGAGCGUUAAUCGGAUUUACUGGGCGUAAAGCGUGCGUAGGCGGCUAAUUGAGUCGGAUGUGAAAUCCCCGAGCUUAACUUGGGAACUGCAUUCGAUACUGGUUAGCUAGAGUGUGGGAGAGGAUGGUAGAAUUCCAGGUGUAGCGGUGAAAUGCGUAGAGAUCUGGAGGAAUACCGAUGGCGAAGGCAGCCAUCUGGCCUAACACUGACGCUGAGGUACGAAAGCAUGGGGAGCAAACAGG